This is a long non-coding RNA of Pocillopora damicornis (cauliflower coral), 390 nucleotides long. RefSeq lists it as uncharacterized. NCBI's taxonomy places the organism in Eukaryota, Metazoa, Cnidaria, Anthozoa, Scleractinia, Pocilloporidae. The record is from RefSeq and is a predicted model, not a curated record.
CUUGUCCAGAAUCCUGUGUUUGGCGUGGAAAGAGGGUUGGUUCAAAAGAAAAAGAAAUAAUUCUACUAACAAAGAUGUCCCAGGUCUUUCUUGUUUCCUUGGUUCUCUUGUUGACCAUCUGUGCAGCUACGUCACUUCCAGCUGACCACCCGCAGCCUGGGUACGACAAUGACUUGGUACUUGACUACAGGGAGAACAAAAGAGGCUUCCGUGGACUCCCGCCAUCAGCACGAAAGGGAAGGCGAGGUUACCUCGACGAUCCUUAUGGGUACGCCUCCGACAAGGAACCAGCUGAUUAUGAGCCCGUCAGCGUGUAGAAGGAAGGCUACGUUAUUGAAGUAAAUAAUUGGGUCGGGACUAAUAAGAUGAAAUAAAGUGACGUCGCCGAUU